GCCCCAGUAGCUCAGCUGGUUAGAUCGCUUCCUUGGUAAGGAAGAGGCCGCGAGUUCGAAUCUCGCCUGGGGCUCCA
This 77-nucleotide transfer RNA is filed under the name Candidatus Thorarchaeota archaeon. RNAcentral's name for it is "tRNA-Thr". It matches the Rfam family "tRNA". From Rfam's summary of the family: Transfer RNA (tRNA) molecules are approximately 80 nucleotides in length. Their secondary structure includes four short double-helical elements and three loops (D, anti-codon, and T loops). Further hydrogen bonds mediate the characteristic L-shaped molecular structure. tRNAs have two regions of fundamental functional importance: the anti-codon, which is responsible for specific mRNA codon recognition, and the 3' end, to which the tRNAs corresponding amino acid is attached (by aminoacyl-tRNA synthetases). tRNAs cope with the degeneracy of the genetic code in two manners: having more than one tRNA (with a specific anti-codon) for a particular amino acid; and 'wobble' base-pairing, i.e. permitting non-standard base-pairing at the 3rd anti-codon position. Lineage: Archaea; Promethearchaeati; Candidatus Thorarchaeota. The record is from RNAcentral. RNAcentral also lists the same sequence under 1 other name.